CUUGCCUUAAACUAUGUAUACUUGAUGGAGUUGGGCUCAACCCUGACUGUGUCGAAGCUAACGCGAUAAGUAUACCGCCUGGGGAGUACACUCGCAAGGGUGAAACUCAAAAGAAUUGACGGGGACCCGCACAAGCAGUGGAGUAUGUGGUUUAAUUCGAUGCAACGCGAAGAACCUUACCUGGGUUUGACAUGUAAGAGACCACUAUAGAGAUAUAGUUUUCCCGCAAGGGACUGUUACACAGGUGC
This 248-nucleotide ribosomal RNA is filed under the name uncultured bacterium. Its description in RNAcentral is "partial 16S ribosomal RNA". It matches the Rfam family "Bacterial small subunit ribosomal RNA", at positions 796 to 1041 of the family's 1533-position model. The record is from RNAcentral.